GACGAACGCUGGCGGCGUGCUUAACACAUGCAAGUCGAACGGUGAAGCGCCUUCCUUUUUGGUGGGUGUGGAUGAGUGGCGAACGGGUGAGUAACACGUGAGUAACCUGCCCCCUUCUUCUGGAUAACCGCAUGAAAGUGUGGCUAAUACGGGAUAUUCUGGGUCUGUCGCAUGAUGGGUCUGGGAAAGAUAUUGUUUCGGUGGGGGAUGGGCUCGCGGCCUAUCAGCUUGUUGGUGGGGUGAUGGCCUACCAAGGCGGUGACGGGUAGUCGGCCUGAGAGGGUGGACGGUCACACUGGGACUGAGACACGGCCCAGACUCCUACGGGAGGCAGCAGUGGGGAAUAUUGCACAAUGGGCGCAAGCCUGAUGCAGCGACGCCGCGUGAGGGAUGGAGGCCUGCGGGUUGUGAACCUCUUUCGCCAGUGAAGCAGGCCUGCCUCGUUUGUGGGUGGGUUGACGGUAGCUGGAUAAGAAGCGCCGGCUAACUACGUG
RNAcentral lists this ribosomal RNA (494 nucleotides) under uncultured bacterium. RNAcentral's name for it is "partial 16S ribosomal RNA". It matches the Rfam family "Bacterial small subunit ribosomal RNA", at positions 28 to 507 of the family's 1533-position model. The record is from RNAcentral.